RNAcentral lists this ribosomal RNA (782 nucleotides) under uncultured bacterium. RNAcentral's name for it is "bacterial SSU rRNA". It matches the Rfam family "Bacterial small subunit ribosomal RNA", at positions 723 to 1504 of the family's 1533-position model. The record is from RNAcentral.
AGCUUCCUGGCAUCAUACUGACACUGAGGCUCGAAAGCGUGGGUAGCAAACAGGAUUAGAUACCCUGGUAGUCCACGCCGUAAACGAUGUCUACUAGUCGUUGGGUCCCUUGAGGACUUAGUGACGCAGCUAACGCAAUAAGUAGACCGCCUGGGGAGUACGGCCGCAAGGUUAAAACUCAAAUGAAUUGACGGGGGCCCGCACAAGCGGUGGAGCAUGUGGUUUAAUUCGAUGCAACGCGAAGAACCUUACCUGGUCUUGACAUAUCUAGAAUCCUGCAGAGAUGCGGGAGUGCCUUCGGGAAUUAGAAUACAGGUGCUGCAUGGCUGUCGUCAGCUCGUGUCGUGAGAUGUUGGGUUAAGUCCCGCAACGAGCGCAACCCUUGUCCUUAGUUACCAGCGGGUUAAGCCGGGAACUCUAAGGAUACUGCCAGUGACAAACUGGAGGAAGGCGGGGACGACGUCAAGUCAUCAUGGCCCUUACGACCAGGGCUACACACGUGCUACAAUGGUAGGUACAGAGGGCAGCUACACAGCGAUGUGAUGCGAAUCUCAAAAAGCCUAUCGUAGUCCAGAUUGGAGUCUGCAACUCGACUCCAUGAAGUAGGAAUCGCUAGUAAUCGCGGAUCAGAAUGCCGCGGUGAAUACGUUCCCGGGCCUUGUACACACCGCCCGUCACACCAUGGGAGUUGAUUGCACCAGAAGUGGAUAGCUUAACCUUCGGGGAGGCGUUCACCACGGUGUGGUUGAUGACUGGGGUGAAGUCGUAACAAGGUAGCCGUA